GAUGUUCUAACGUGGAUCCGUAAUCCGGGUUGCGGACAGUGUCUGGUGGGUAGUUUGACUGGGGCGGUCUCCUCCUAAAGAGUAACGGAGGAGCACGAAGGUUGGCUAAUCCUGGUCGGACAUCAGGAGGUUAGUGCAAUGGCAUAAGCCAGCUUGACUGCGAGCGUGACGGCGCGAGCAGGUGCGAAAGCAGGUCAUAGUGAUCCGGUGGUUCUGAAUGGAAGGGCCAUCGCUCAACGGAUAAAAGGUACUCCGGGGAUAACAGGCUGAUACCGCCCAAGAGUUCAUAUCGACGGCGGUGUUUGGCACCUCGAUGUCGGCUCAUCACAUCCUGGGGCUGAAGUAGGUCCCAAGGGUAUGGCUGUUCGCCAUUUAAAGUGGUACGCGAGCUGGGUUUAGAACGUCGUGAGACAGUUCGGUCCCUAUCUGCCGUGGGCGCUGGAGAACUGAGGGGGGCUGCUCCUAGUACGAGAGGACCGGAGUGGACGCAUCACUGGUGUUCGGGUUGUCAUGCCAAUGGCACUGCCCGGUAGCUAAAUGCGGAAGAGAUAAGUGCUGAAAGCAUCUAAGCACGAAACUUGCCCCGA
Molecule: ribosomal RNA, 587 nt
Filed under: Salmonella enterica subsp. enterica serovar Infantis
Lineage: Bacteria; Pseudomonadati; Pseudomonadota; Gammaproteobacteria; Enterobacterales; Enterobacteriaceae
Also listed under: 2 other names
Description: partial 23S ribosomal RNA
Rfam family: Bacterial large subunit ribosomal RNA
Source: RNAcentral